RNAcentral lists this long non-coding RNA (2396 nucleotides) under Dermacentor andersoni. RNAcentral describes it as "uncharacterized LOC126523287". Lineage: Eukaryota; Metazoa; Arthropoda; Arachnida; Ixodida; Ixodidae. The record is from RNAcentral.
UGAGCUGUCCACCGAUGUUUCAGUAGUAUUAUCCCUUAGUGAGUGAGAGAUUGGGGGCAAUUAAUCGUGUUAGUGUUUAAGUGGUGUCCUAAUUAUGUGCAUUUGUUCCAACAAAGUUGUCUAGAUUACUUUAUUGUGUAGUGUAAAGCUUAUGAAACCAUCAGCGACUACUGAGUUGCUAACACGCAUAUGGAUUUGUCACUAUACAUGUGAAACUCGGCUGUACCACUGCAGUGCUGCGGAAAUUGCCUUCACCAGCGGCUUUGCAACAGCUGUUUCGCAGCAUGUCGGAGACAAUGCCUACGAAAUUAUUGGCCCUGAUCAUGAGAGCCCUCAAGGGGCAAACAACAUCUCUGUUGCAGGAGUGAGCCCGAUACCACUUGGAAGUUACCAUGACAGAUGACACGGCAGCAAUAGAUGCAGAGACUGCCAUGUCUACUGCAGCUGCAACAGUGUACGAGGCAAGCAGCAGCGCGUCAGCAUCAGCAGCAGUGUCAGAAGGAACCACACCAGGCCUGGUAGAGCAACAUGUGUUCUAUCACUGACUUUUUUUGUAUUGGAUACAACUCAUUUGCUCAACAUACAAAAGCUUUUCACCACGACUGUGAGCCAGUGUUAUUGUGCAGCAAGUGCAAGACUAAGUUAGGUGUUAUAACACAGUACAAGCAUCACUUUAAUAUAUGCAAAUGCAAACAUAUUACAGUUGUUGCCUCCCCAGCCAGCCCACAUAGUGACAACAAUGUGGAACACAUGGUGGGACACACCUCUCCCCCAUUACAAGAUAGUAGAAACUGUCAGUGUUGUUGCUAGAUUGACUGGUCUUUGUAGGCAACUAGAAGGACAACACAGGUGUCAUAAGAUUGUUGUUGAUGUUGUUGUUGAAGAAGUAAAAAAGAAGUUUGAUGCAGCUGAAGUGCCAACUGAUAUUGAGCAAAUCAAAAGCAACCACCUGAGAAAGCAACACUAUCGAAAUUUGGGUAUCUAUGUGCCGCCAACUCUGGUAAGAAUGGCAUAGGACAGAAGUGUGCUGAAAAUCACACAGACACUGCUGUUGCAUCACUGGCCACAGUGAACAGCGACUUGUAGGGCAAGAGAGUCAACUGAAACUAACAUUAUGAUAUAGUGUCAUGCUCCCAUGUGACCACUUCUCAAGUUAUUUUGCAAGAUACAGCUCAACCUCCAGAAACGAGACUGCAACUUGUCUGUAAAAAAGCUUUAACAAAAAAUUAUUCAUAACACUAUUAACAUAGCAGUAUCUUUUUUUUUGUGUCGGUUCGAGGUUCCCGGCUGUCCAUUAAUGCAAAAAUUGAGGAAAAAAAGAACAUGUGUCGUAGUUACACCUUUUUAACAAGUACGAGGGGGACAGAACUUUUCUAUUCAUGCAUCUUCAUCAUACUAUCAAGUUUUUAAAUGCCUUUUAUAAUUAUUAUUACCAGUUAUAUCUGAGUGCAUUGUAUGCAUGUAGCAGGUGUAAAAUCAGGUCAGUUGGAUCAGAUGCCUUAUCUGCAAGCGAGCCCUAUAUUCAAGAAAUUUGAAUUAAGAUAGUUACGUUAGAGACGCAGUCUUUCAGCACUUUAUUGCCUGUGGUUUAAGCAUUGCUCAAUACUUUUGUGGGUGGCAAUUUCAACCGGCACAGCACUGUGCUUUGCCACAGUCGCAUUUGUCUUCAAAGCGGUGUUUACCAUUUGUGUUGAUCUGUUUGUGUAUGCAUAGAGCGAGUUUUUAAUGUCUAUUUUUCUGCAUUCUUGUGCUUGCACUAAGCUUGUAUAAGACAGUUACAAAAUGUGCGUCACUAUAACGAACUGUUCUGUUGAGCUUACACUUGCAAAUAAUCGUGUUCAGAUGGCCGCACUUCUACGCGGGUGCACCGCUAGCUUUGUGUAUGUUCUCAUGUUUGUAUAAAGCUCAUAUAAGCUAGUUAGACAAUGUAUGUCACUAAGCAUUGUGAUAUUCUUUAAAGAAUUACUUGGUUGGUUUUACACUUGCGAAUUAGUAUUGAGGCGGUGGUAUUCCCAUGUAUGCCCACUGCUAGCUUUCUGUGUCCUCACGUGUUUGUAUUAAGUUUCUACAAGGGAGUUACAGCAUGUACGUCACUAAGCGCUGUGAUAUUUUUUAAAGAACUGCUUUGUUGGUUUUACACCUAUGAGUAAUAGUACUCGGGUGGCACUAGUCAUAUGUAGGUAGACAGGGACCAUUUGUAUACAUUAUGCUCAUGUAAAGCAGUUACAAAGUGUAUGUCACUAAUUACUGUGAUAUUUGUUGAAUUGCUGUGAUGGUUUUACACAUGUGAAUAAUAGUGGUCAGGACACCGUACUUGCGGUGUAUAGUUGAAUUUAUACGCUGCCAAGACAUGGGCUGUAUACGUACCAAAAGAAAUGUAUGUCAUUAUAUUGUUA